CGAACGCUGGCGGCGUGCUUAACACAUGCAGGUCGAACGGAAAGGCCCUGCUUUUGUGGGGUGCUCGAGUGGCGAACGGGUGAGUAACACGUGAGUAACCUGCCCUUGACUUUGGGAUAACUUCAGGAAACUGGGGCUAAUACCGGAUAGGAGCUCCUGCUGCAUGGUGGGGGUUGGAAAGUUUCGGCGGUUGGGGAUGGACUCGCGGCUUAUCAGCUUGUUGGUGGGGUAGUGGCUUACCAAGGCUUUGACGGGUAGCCGGCCUGAGAGGGUGACCGGCCACAUUGGGACUGAGAUACGGCCCAGACUCCUACGGGAGGCAGCAGUGGGGAAUAUUGCACAAUGGGCGGAAGCCUGAUGCAGCAACGCCGCGUGCGGGAUGACGGCCUUCGGGUUGUAAACCGCUUUCGCCUGCGACGAAGCGUGAGUGACGGUAAUGGGUAAAGAAGCACCGGCUAACUACGUG
This 466-nucleotide ribosomal RNA is filed under the name uncultured bacterium. Its description in RNAcentral is "partial 16S ribosomal RNA". It matches the Rfam family "Bacterial small subunit ribosomal RNA", at positions 30 to 507 of the family's 1533-position model. The record is from RNAcentral.